Unclassified non-coding RNA from Pan paniscus (pygmy chimpanzee), 282 nucleotides. It matches the Rfam family "Metazoan signal recognition particle RNA". Rfam says of the family: The signal recognition particle (SRP) is a universally conserved ribonucleoprotein. It is involved in the co-translational targeting of proteins to membranes. The eukaryotic SRP consists of a 300-nucleotide 7S RNA and six proteins: SRPs 72, 68, 54, 19, 14, and 9. The record is from Ensembl. NCBI's taxonomy places the organism in Eukaryota, Metazoa, Chordata, Mammalia, Primates, Hominidae.
GCUGGGUGUGGUGGCAUGUGCCUGUGGUCCCAGCACUCAGGAGGCUGAGACAGGAGGGCUGCACGGGCCCAGGAGUUGGCUGGGGUGUGCUGUGCCAAUGGAGUGUCUACGCUAAGUCUGUCAUCACUAUGGUGAGCUCCUGGGAGUGGAGGACCACCAGGCUGCCAGCCCAGGUCAGAAACAGAGCAGGACAAAAAGCUCCGGUGCUGAUCAGUAGUGGGACUGCGCCUAUGAUUAGCCACCUCACUCCAGCCUGGGCAACAUGGCACGACCACAUACUUA